CUCGUAGUGUAGCGGUUAACACGCCUGCCUGUCACGCAGGAGAUCGCGGGUUCGAUUCCCGUCGAGACCGCCA
RNAcentral lists this transfer RNA (73 nucleotides) under Staphylococcus aureus M0489. Its description in RNAcentral is "tRNA-Asp". It matches the Rfam family "tRNA". From Rfam's summary of the family: Transfer RNA (tRNA) molecules are approximately 80 nucleotides in length. Their secondary structure includes four short double-helical elements and three loops (D, anti-codon, and T loops). Further hydrogen bonds mediate the characteristic L-shaped molecular structure. tRNAs have two regions of fundamental functional importance: the anti-codon, which is responsible for specific mRNA codon recognition, and the 3' end, to which the tRNAs corresponding amino acid is attached (by aminoacyl-tRNA synthetases). tRNAs cope with the degeneracy of the genetic code in two manners: having more than one tRNA (with a specific anti-codon) for a particular amino acid; and 'wobble' base-pairing, i.e. permitting non-standard base-pairing at the 3rd anti-codon position. The record is from RNAcentral. Lineage: Bacteria; Bacillati; Bacillota; Bacilli; Caryophanales; Staphylococcaceae.